AGGCGUGAUGACGCCGAGGACACCUGAGCGGUGAUGACUCUUCGCUUCGCUGACC
RNAcentral lists this small nucleolar RNA (55 nucleotides) under Thermococcus stetteri. RNAcentral's name for it is "Small nucleolar RNA sR45". It matches the Rfam family "Small nucleolar RNA sR45". RNAcentral also lists the same sequence under 1 other name. The record is from RNAcentral. Lineage: Archaea; Methanobacteriati; Methanobacteriota; Thermococci; Thermococcales; Thermococcaceae.